UUUAGUUGUUUUUCAUAUCACCAUUUCUUAAAGCUUAAAUAUCCAGAGUUCAGUUUAUGUUGGAUGUGCUCCUUGCCAUUAAGAACAACAACAUGAGAAAGAUUCCCAACUAUGACCCCAGUCACAUGGAGCAUAUGAAGAAAUUACUCAGGAAUUAUGUGAGAGGCACAGCAGACACCCAGCUCAGGAUAUCUCUACAGGAUCUGCUGGAUGCUGAGGAACACGGACGAUGGUGGAUUGUAGGCUCAGCUUGGAGUGG
Lingula anatina is the source of this 259-nucleotide long non-coding RNA. Lineage: Eukaryota; Metazoa; Brachiopoda; Lingulata; Lingulida; Lingulidae. The record is from RefSeq and is a predicted model, not a curated record.